Molecule: transfer RNA, 72 nt
Filed under: Bos grunniens (domestic yak)
Lineage: Eukaryota; Metazoa; Chordata; Mammalia; Artiodactyla; Bovidae
Also listed under: 2 other names
Rfam family: tRNA
About the family: Transfer RNA (tRNA) molecules are approximately 80 nucleotides in length. Their secondary structure includes four short double-helical elements and three loops (D, anti-codon, and T loops). Further hydrogen bonds mediate the characteristic L-shaped molecular structure. tRNAs have two regions of fundamental functional importance: the anti-codon, which is responsible for specific mRNA codon recognition, and the 3' end, to which the tRNAs corresponding amino acid is attached (by aminoacyl-tRNA synthetases). tRNAs cope with the degeneracy of the genetic code in two manners: having more than one tRNA (with a specific anti-codon) for a particular amino acid; and 'wobble' base-pairing, i.e. permitting non-standard base-pairing at the 3rd anti-codon position.
Source: Rfam by way of RNAcentral
UCCCUGGUGGCUCAGAUGGUAAAGAAUCUGCCUGCAAUGCAAGAGACCCAGGUUCGAUUCCUGGGUCGGGAA